This 914-nucleotide ribosomal RNA is filed under the name uncultured marine archaeon. RNAcentral describes it as "bacterial SSU rRNA". It matches the Rfam family "Archaeal small subunit ribosomal RNA", at positions 1 to 922 of the family's 1478-position model. The record is from RNAcentral.
UUCCGGUUGAUCCCGCCGGACCUGACUGCUAUCGGAUUGAUACUAAGCCAUGCGAGUCUUUGCAGUAAUGCAAGGCAUACGGCUCAGUAACACGUAGUCAACUUACCCUAUGGACGAGGAUAAUCUCGGGAAACUGAGCAUAAUACUCGAUAGAUCAUAAUGCCUGGAAUGGUUUAUGGUUGAAAUGAUUCGUCGCCAUAGGAUGGGACUGCGGCCUAUCAGCUUGUUGGUGAGGUAAUGGCCCACCAAGGCGAUUACAGGUACGGGCUCUGAGAGGAGAAGCCCGGAGAUGGGUACUGAGACAAGGACCCAGGCCCUAUGGGGCGCAGCAGGCGAGAAAACUUUGCAAUGUGCGAAAGCACGACAAGGUUAAUCCGAGUGAUUUCUGCUAAAGAAAUCUUUUGCAAGUCAUAAAACCACUAGUGAAUAAGGGGUGGGCAAGUUCUGGUGUCAGCCGCCGCGGUAAAACCAGCACCUCAAGUGGUCAGGAGGAUUAUUGGGCCUAAAGCAUCCGUAGCCGGCUCUGUAAGUUUUCGGUUAAAUCCAUGUGCUCAACGCAUGGGCUGCCGAAAAUACUGCAUAGCUAGGGAGUGGGAGAGGUAGACGGUACUCAGUAGGAAGGGGUAAAAUCCUUUGAUCUAUUGAUGACCACCUGUGGCGAAGGCGGUCUACCAGAACACGUUCGACGGUGAGGGAUGAAAGCUGGGGGAGCAAACCGGAUUAGAUACCCGGGUAGUCCCAGCUGUAAACGAUGCAGACUCGAUGAUGCAUUGGCAUAUAGCCAGUGCAGUGUCGCAGGGAAGCCGUUAAGUCUGCCGCCUGGGAAGUACGUACGCAAGUAUGAAACUUAAAGGAAUUGGCGGGGGAGCACCACAAGGGGUGAAGCCUGCGGUUCAAUUGGAUUCAACGCCGGG